UGAAAUGAAUGACCUCCCCGGAGGUCAAAGUCACAGCAGUCGCUGUGGAGCACUCUCACUCUGCUCACUCUGCUCACUCUUCUCACUCUGUAAUUCUGAAGCUUCACUCCCACGCUGUGCGGUUCCAAACACAGGGUUCUGAAGUUAAGGAGACAGCGAGGGUAUGUCUGUGUGACGGGUCAUCACAUCACAGCAUCCUAUAACACUCUCAUUUGGUUCCCGUGCCUUCUUAUGACGUGCCUGAUCCUGGCCAAUCAGCAGCUCCAGAGAGAGGAAACCACUUCUUCCUCCUGGAGAGAGAGGAUCCCACUCAUCUGACUUCAAGCUGCCUCCAACGUAGUUUUAGAGAAUUUGGUAGUACGUCCAACUGGCCUCACAACUGCAGACCAAGUGUUACCAUGCCAACCCAGGACCUCCACAUCCGGCUUCUUCACCUGCGGGAUCGUCUGAGACCAGUCAACCAGACAGCUGAUGAAACUGAGUAUUUCUGUCUGUAAGAAAGCCCUUUUGUGGGGCUAAACUCAUUCCGAUUGGCUGGGCUUGGCUCCCAAGUUGGUGGACUUAUGCCCUCCCAGGCCCACCCAUGGCUGCACCCCUGCCCAGUCAUGUGAAAUCUAUAGAUUAGGGUCCCGUACAUUUAUUUAAAUGGUUCGAUUUGCUUAUAUGAACUGUAAAACCGUUUAAAUUGUUGUAUGUUGUGUUUAUAUUUUUGUUCAGUGUAGUUGAGACACCAUAUUGGUUUUUAAAUACAGCAAUAUGUGUCUCAAGUGUUUCCUGGAAGGAUGCUUCCUGUUACUGAACUCUGUGUAAAGCUGUGAUAUACUGUAAAUAUCAAAAACAUACUUCAAGCCAAAAAGAGGAGAGGGGAAGGGGAUUGCUUUUCAUCCACAUCUCUGAAGUGUUUUAACUUCUUUAGGUUCGGAAUGUACUGUAGUUACUCCCCUUCCUUCCCUCCAUCCACCCUGGAAAUCUAACUUACUGUAGAUUCUGAGGGGCCUAUGGAACUCUGAGGGGCCUAUGGAAUUCUGAGGGGCCUAUGGAACUCUGAAGCCAACAUAGUACAUAGCAUCUCAAUAGUUGACUGUAAAUGACUGUUGGUAGUGUAAGUGUCACGCCCUGGCCAUAGAGAGGCUUUUAUUCUCUAAUUUGGUUAGGCCAGGGUGUGACUAGGGUCGGCAUUCUAGUUUCUUUAUUUCUAUGUUUUCUAUUUCUUAGUUUUUUUUGCCGAGUGUGGUUCCCAAUCAGAGGCAGCUGUUUAUCGUUGUCUCUGAUUGGGGAUCACGUAGAAGUUGUCAUUUUCCUUUUCCGAUCUUGUUUUUGUUGUUAGCUCUGUGAAGCCUGCAGAACGUGACGUUCGUGGUUAUUUUGUUUGGUGUUCUGAGUAAAUAAAGAAUCAUGAACACUUACCACUCUGCACCUUGGUCUCCUUCCGACGACAA
Long non-coding RNA from Oncorhynchus keta (chum salmon), 1439 nucleotides. RefSeq lists it as uncharacterized. The record is from RefSeq and is a predicted model, not a curated record. NCBI's taxonomy places the organism in Eukaryota, Metazoa, Chordata, Actinopteri, Salmoniformes, Salmonidae. The transcript is spliced from 3 exons.